RNAcentral lists this ribosomal RNA (253 nucleotides) under uncultured bacterium. RNAcentral's name for it is "partial 16S ribosomal RNA". It matches the Rfam family "Bacterial small subunit ribosomal RNA", at positions 524 to 776 of the family's 1533-position model. The record is from RNAcentral.
UACGAAGGGGGCUAGCGUUGCUCGGAAUCACUGGGCGUAAAGCGUGCGCAAGCGGUUUUGUAAGCCAGAUGUGAAAUCCCCGGGCUUAACCUGGGAAUGGCAUUUGGGACUGCAAGGCUGGAGUUUGGCAGAGGAGACUGGAAUUCCUGGUGUAGCAGUGAAAUGCGUAGAUAUCAGGAGGAAUACCGAUGGCGAAGGCAGGUCUCUGGGCUAUAACUGACGCUCAUGCACGAAAGCGUGGGGAGCAAACAGG